RNAcentral lists this long non-coding RNA (4843 nucleotides) under Salvia miltiorrhiza (redroot sage). Its description in RNAcentral is "long non-coding RNA (SMIL_LNC006282)". Lineage: Eukaryota; Viridiplantae; Streptophyta; Magnoliopsida; Lamiales; Lamiaceae. The record is from RNAcentral.
CCGUGCGGGGGAGGCGCGGCUGCCGGCAACUUUCGGCGGAGCUGAAGCAGACGGCGGCGGCGGAUCUGUUUGAGGGAGGGGAGAAGAGGUGAUGGUGAGAGAGAGAGAAAAUGGGAGUUAUAGAGAGAGAGAGAAAGAGAACCGUGAGGGGAGAGGUGAGAAGAGAGAGAUAUAAGUUGUUUUAAUUGUUCUAUUAUUUUAGGGUAAGUUUUGAUUUUUAUUUUGAGCCUCACUAAUUAUUUUAGUAUGGACAGAUUUUAUUAAAUGAAUGGGCCUAUUGCUAUCAUUCUGAGUGGGCUGAUUUUAUUGAUUUAAAUGAGCUUGUUGCUUUCAAUAUUAUAAUUGAGCUGUAUUAUUUAUAGCAAGUCUUUAAAUUAUUUUUCUUGGACUUUAACUAUUAGUUUGAGCCUGAAAAUGUUUUAAUAAGAAUUAUUAAUUUUUCUUCCAAGAGUAAGGUUCUAUAUUUUUAAAUUAUUAACUAUUUUAUAAGUUUUAAAUCUAUUAUUAAUCAUAUUUAUUAAGUUAUUAAUUAUGUAUUAAAAGUUUAUGGAUUCGCUCAAAGAGAUUAUUAAUUCGGGCAAAGUGUAUCAAUAGUUAGUGAUUUUCCUCUUUGUAUUUAGAAGUUAGAAUAGCACCAAGAGACCUAUUAAGAAUAGAUUUUUUUGUAGGCUUUGAGGAUCAGGAGGAUUAGCACUGCUUUCCCGUGACAGGUUUACGAUUAAACUACAGGCUUUGCCUAUUCAGGUGGGCUUUAUUUUAAAUACAAUGUAUCUUGAGUUAUAUAAGCUCUGAUAUUUCAUGAAAAUUGUCUGUUUAUCCAAUAUAAAUGUUUUUAUGUGCGUUCUGUAAUUGUUUAAGGCUCACUUAAGUAUCGAUCGAGAUUCUCAUUUGGCCUAACACGCUAAAUGAGGAUUGUGUACACAGGGUUAGUGACUCGAUGGAUUGAUCACCAUCGUGCACUAACAGAUUUAGAACGUUAUAAGGGUGGGUGCUUGACAGGAGGUUAUCCGGAGCACGGUGCUUGACAGGAGGUUAUCCGGAGCACAGUUAAGGUUAUUGAUUCCGACCGGGUGCGUCCCGAGAUCAAUAACAGAUUUUGGAUCUGACUGGGUGCGUCCCGAGAUCAGUGAAUGUGGGGAGAAAGUGAGUAACAAUCGAACGUACAUGGCGCGCCACUUAAUGAAGAAAAGUUUUGUCAUGCUUAGAAGUGGAUUUCUGUUUUUAAACCUUCUGAGUUAUGAUUGUGAUAUUGGAUAAACUACUUCGAUUAUUUCUUAAAAUAUUUCAAAAACUCGUGCCCACUGAGUACAUUAGUACUCAGCCCAAAUUAUUUUCAAAUAUUUUCAGGUUGAUCGGCUGGUGCAGACGGGGCUGAGCUGAGGCUAAGGUUCCACGAUGUCUUUUGCUUCCGCUAAUAACUAUCUUGUCAUCUCAUCCUCCAUCCCCUAAAUUGAGAAUUUCUAUUGUGUGGUAUAAUAUUAUCUUGUUGGGCUUAGACUCUUAACCCAUAUUUCUAUUAAUGGAGCUAUCAUUGAUUAUGAUCAGAGUCACGAAACUAAACCUAUGCGAUCCUGAGUUCGAAUAUUGUCAUUUGAUUAGCAUCUCUUAAUGCCUUUCAUUUUAUCUUCUUUCAUCUUAUCUCUUUAGAUAUGCAUACCCGAUUUAAUGGGUAAAUUAUAAAUUUUAUUCAGCUCAAUUAAGUUCUUAAAUUAUUUUCCUAUUUCUUUUUGCCUUGGAGAAGUCGGGUCGUUACAAUCGCAACACUCAUUUGCACAUAACGACUUAAUCAAAAUUUUCACAUCUCUUACCUCAGAACCCCCCAAACUCUUAGUUUUACAGACUAUGUCCCACUUAACUGUUCGAAACUUAAUGAAAUAUCCUAAUCCUAAUUUUGAUGAUACCAAAAUCCUUAUGUUUUCCUUAUAAUAGACUAGAACUAUUCGAACUCAAGUGUUAGAGUUCUUUUUCUAGUUUAUAUGUUGUUCUGAAGACUGAAGACCAGAGGACUGAAGACUGAAGAUGCCAACUGAUGUAACGAAUUAAGGCAGAGUCAAAUACUGAUAUUUGACUGAUGAGUCCAAGAAUCAGUUGCGACUGAUUACUUAAUGCAGGCCACGUAGAUUCAGCGAACUGAUACUAAAGUCAAGCAUCAGUUAACAUUCUUCCUCGGACUGAACCUCCAAAGCUUAAAGGAAGCCACCCACUCCCAGAGUAUAAAUGCAGAGAUUUAAAGGAUCGUCCUUUCUCUGCAGAGCCUUUCUUUUUGGUGAUUACCUUUUUCAAAGACGUCGUAUCUCCUGUACCAAGUAGUCGUUCUCACCAAAUAAGGAACCUCGAAGAUUGAAGCCUCAGCAAAGUUCAAAUCUAUCUCCAACGGAUGAAUUCUUGAAGACCUUUUCCGUCAACGGAUCUAUUCAAGACCUCUCCUAUAAAUAGAACUCGAGGAACACUUCAAUCUUCACCGAUUCAAAUACAUAAGCUGAAACGCUGCCAGCAUUUUACAUAAAAAUUCCUUUGUUGUUUAUCGCUUUCAGUAUUUACUUUCUUAUUUGUGCUCAAACCUUUCAUUAACUGAAGCUGAUUAACUGCAAAGUGAAACAUAAGUCUUGACAACGUGAUUAAUCACUAAGGCUAUUUCAAAGCAAAGUUUUCCGCUGCCAGUGUUAUUAGUCUAACUGAUAAAUCUUCGGAUAGUCAGUAAGACUCAUAAUACUCAUCUGUUUUACAAACCCGACUGAAGCCUAACGUGUAUCAGUUAAGACUUAACUGAUAACUCUUUACUGAAGAGAUAUUCAGUAUCAGUCGCCAACCGUAGUUUUGCUAAACUCUUUUAACUGAAAAGGUUGUGUUGGCUUGUUUUUCUUCAGUUUCGUUUAAAAUAGCCUAUAGGUGUAUUCUCCCCCCCCCUCCAUACACCUAUAGUACUUUGCAGCUUGAAAUUGACGACAUUGGUGAAGAAGUGGUGAUAUGUUUGGUGAAAUGGUUGAGGCAUCAACUACAUAUAUGUUGAAAAUAGUUAGUAUAAUGUAGUUCUAACAAAAUAAGAAAUAGGGAUUACAAGUACCAAAUAUUUGUUGGUCCACCGUGAGCCAUGGCCAUUCCUCAAUAUAAUUGUGAAUUCGUUUUCUGCCAUUCUUUUAUGCAAAUAAAGAGGAAUAAGAAAUAGACUGUUAGAUUAAAAGAUAGCCAAAGAGUAGAAUGUUAGAUAAAAAGUAUACGAAAAUAGAGAUACCCAAAGAUAACCAACUAUGCAAUUAGAGGAACAAGUAAAGAGAUAGCUAAAGAUAACAAAUCAUAAGCAGGGAUGUCCAUUAUUUGAUAUGUAGUAGACAAAAAGCAGAGAUAGAUAAUUUUUGAUAAAUUCAGAUAUAGGCAAAAAUAAAAUUACAAAAAUAGCGUAAGUAGAUAAAAAGUAUCUACUUAUGAAAUAAAUUCAAACAAAAAUCAAAGAUAAGCAGAGAUACUGAAAUAGAAAUUCACGCAAAAAGUAUGUGCAAGUUUAAGAAGCAUGAAUAUAAGCAAAUAGUAUACAAAAAGAGAGAUAGAGAAAUAUAAUCUAAGAUCAAAUUGGAGAGAAAGCAAAGAUGGAUUAAAGGUAGCGAGAGAUAUAUGGAGACAUAAAUUAAAGGGUUAAUGGUGUUUUUUACCCUAUUUGAAAAACGAAACAUAAAAUAUACCCACCCAAAAUUAAAUAUAUAAAAUGUACCCAUUUUGAGGUUGAAAUGACUAAUAUACCCUUAAAACAAAAAGAAAAUACCAAACAAAUCCCCUCCCAAAAAAAAUCAAAAAUCGCUCGCCUUGCUCGUCUUGCUCGACAUGCUCGACAACAAUUUGAACUAUUGCUCGUCUUGCUCGACAUUGAACUAUUGCUCGACAUGCUCGACAGUUCUUAAUUGUUCGACACUCGAUGUUCGAGGCGUCGAGCAAUAGUUCAAAUUGAACUAUUGCUCGACAUGCUCGAUGCUUGACAGUUCAAUGCUCGACGCUUCAGUGUCGAGCAAUGCGAGCAAUGCGCGAAUUACACAUAGGGGUAAAAAUGUCCUAAGUGGGUAGAUUUUAUUGUUUUAAAAAAAGUGGGUAUAUUUUAUGUUUCAUCUUUCAAAAAGGGUAUAUCCCAUUUUGCCUCUAAAUUAAAGAUAACGAGAGAUAACCAAAGAGAAAUCCAGACAAAAAGCAUGUUCAAGAUCAACAACUCUACUAUGUAAUAAUUUCCAAAAGACAUGCAAGAAUGGCCAAAAUGUACUGAAGAUUGUGAUUUUGGAUCAGAAAAAACAAGUUGUAAAUUCUUUUUAAAAAAUAAAAGCAUUGUAAACAUGAUAAACAAUAUACUCUCCAAACUUGAAAUUGUGUAACGAUUAAGAGAUUAAAGUCUUUGUUUUGGAGGUAGCCAGACUUACUUAUUUUUCAAAGUGUAAACACAAAUUUUUGUAUUUCAAUUUGAUAAAAUACAAAACGCGUCACAAAGAUAAUUUGAUAGAAUUUGAUAGAUAGAUUUAUGCGGGUUGCAAUCUCUAGUUAAUCCUCUGAUUCUUCUCUUCCAUUUGAUUCUUGAACAAGCUCGAAGGUUCUUGAAAUACUUGAUUUGAUGACGCCAAUCCAAUGGACUUAAGUCAUGAUUUUGGAUUGAACGUUGAACUUGAUUUGAUUUGAUUUGAAGAACGUCCUUAGAAUUUGUAAGAACGCCUUGAAGCUUUGGGACUUGGUUGAUUUGAUUUGAGGAAGAUCGUUCUUAGAAUUUGUAAGAACGCCUUGAAGCUUUCGAACUUGAUUUUUUUGGAUACUUGAAGAUCACUUCAAAGAUUUGCAGGAAUACUUGAAGAGUUUGAAGGAUACUUGAAGAUUU